RNAcentral lists this ribosomal RNA (254 nucleotides) under uncultured bacterium. RNAcentral describes it as "partial 16S ribosomal RNA". It matches the Rfam family "Bacterial small subunit ribosomal RNA", at positions 524 to 776 of the family's 1533-position model. The record is from RNAcentral.
UACGGGGGGAGCAAGCGUUGUUCGGAUUUACUGGGCGUAAAGGGCGCGUAGGCGGUCAGCACAAGUCAGUUGUGAAAUCUCCGGGCUUAACUCGGAAAGGUCAACUGAUACUGUGCGACUAGAGUGCAGAAGGGGCAACUGGAAUUCUCGGUGUAGCGGUGAAAUGCGUAGAUAUCGAGAGGAACACCUGCGGCAAAGGCGGGUUGCUGGGCUGACACUGACGCUGAUGCGCGAAAGCCAGGGGAGCGAACGGG